This 270-nucleotide ribosomal RNA is filed under the name uncultured archaeon. RNAcentral describes it as "partial 16S ribosomal RNA". It matches the Rfam family "Archaeal small subunit ribosomal RNA", at positions 477 to 747 of the family's 1478-position model. The record is from RNAcentral.
CAGCACCUCAAGUGGUCAGGAUGAUUAUUGGGCCUAAAGCAUCCGUAGCCGGCUCUGUAAGUUUUCGGUUAAAUCUGUAUGCUCAACAUACGGGCUGCCGGGAAUACUGCAGAGCUAGGGAGUGGGAGAGGUAGACGGUACUCGGUAGGAAGGGGUAAAAUCCUUUGAUCUAUUGAUGACCACCUGUGGCGAAGGCGGUCUACCAGAACACGUCCGACGGUGAGGGAUGAAAGCUGGGGGAGCAAACCGGAUUAGAGACCCGAGUAGUCC